GACGAACGCUGGCGGCGUGCUUAACACAUGCAAGUCGAACGGAAAGGCCCUGCUUUUGUGGGGUGCUCGAGUGGCGAACGGGUGAGUAACACGUGAGUAACCUGCCCUUGACUUUGGGAUAACUUCAGGAAACUGGGGCUAAUACCGGAUAGGAGCUCCUGCUGCAUGGUGGGGGUUGGAAAGUUUCGGCGGUUGGGGAUGGACUCGCGGCUUAUCAGCUUGUUGGUGGGGUAGUGGCUUACCAAGGCUUUGACGGGUAGCCGGCCUGAGAGGGUGACCGGCCACAUUGGGACUGAGAGACGGCCCAGACUCCUACGGGAGGCAGCAGUGGGGAAUAUUGCACAAGGGGCGGAAGCCUGAUGCAGCAACGCCGCGUGCGGGAUGACGGCCUUCGGGUUGUAAACCGCUUUCGCCUGUGACGAAGCGUGAGGGACGGUAAUGGGUAAAGAAACACCGGCUAACUACGU
RNAcentral lists this ribosomal RNA (467 nucleotides) under uncultured bacterium. RNAcentral describes it as "partial 16S ribosomal RNA". It matches the Rfam family "Bacterial small subunit ribosomal RNA", at positions 28 to 506 of the family's 1533-position model. The record is from RNAcentral.